RNAcentral lists this ribosomal RNA (464 nucleotides) under uncultured bacterium. RNAcentral's name for it is "partial 16S ribosomal RNA". It matches the Rfam family "Bacterial small subunit ribosomal RNA", at positions 339 to 795 of the family's 1533-position model. The record is from RNAcentral.
CUACGGGGGGCAGCAGUGGGGAAUAUUGCACAAUGGGCGCAAGCCUGAUGCAGCCAUGCCGCGUGUAUGAAGAAGGCCUUCGGGUUGUAAAGUACUUUCAGCGGGGAGGAAGGGAGUAAAGUUAAUACCUUUGCUCAUUGACGUUACCCGCAGAAGAAGCACCGGCUAACUCCGUGUCAGCAGCCGCGGUAAUACGGAGGGUGCAAGCGUUAAUCGGAAUUACUGGGCGUAAAGCGCACGCAGGCGGUUUGUUAAGUCAGAUGUGAAAUCCCCGGGCUCAACCUGGGAACUGCAUCUGAUACGGGCAAGCUUGAGUCUCGUAGAGGGGGGUAGAAUUCCAGGUGUAGCGGUGAAAUGCGUAGAGAUCUGGAGGAAUACCGGUGGCGAAGGCGGCCCCCUGGACGAAGACUGACGCUCAGGUGCGAAAGCGUGGGGAGCAAACAGGAUUAGAUACCCCGGUAGUC